RNAcentral lists this ribosomal RNA (506 nucleotides) under uncultured archaeon. RNAcentral describes it as "bacterial SSU rRNA". It matches the Rfam family "Archaeal small subunit ribosomal RNA", at positions 23 to 530 of the family's 1478-position model. The record is from RNAcentral.
GUUACUGCUAUCGAGAUUCGACUAAGCCAUGCGAGUUGAAUGUUCUUCGUGAACAUGGCGGACUGCUCAGUAACACGUGGACAACCUACCCUUGGGUCUGGCAUAAUCCUGGGAAACUGGGGAUAAUUCCGGAUAAACCACAGAUGCUGGAAUGCGCUGUGGCCCAAAGCUCCGGCGCCCAAGGAUGGGUCUGCGGCCUAUCAGGGUUGUAGUGGGUGUAAAGUACCUACUAGCCUACGACGGGUACGGGUUGUGAGAGCAAGAGCCCGGAGAUGGAUUCUGAGACACGAAUCCAGGCCCUACGGAAUGCAGCAGGCGCGAAAACUUUACAAUGCGGGAAACCGUGAUAAGGGAAUCUCGAGUGCCAGCAUAUAAUGUUGGCUGUCCAGAUGCCUAAAAAGCAUCUGUUAGCAAGGGCCGGGCAAGACCGGUGCCAGCCGCCGCGGUAACACCGGCGGCCCGAGUGGUAACCGCUUUUAUUGGGUCUAAAGGGUCUGUAGCCGGCC